ACCAGAAUCACCCCCAACCAAAGCAAAAAGGUCUUUUGGGUUCCAUCUACAUAAAAAGAAGAUGAUAAAGCUCUGAUUGGGCUUAUUUCAAAUUGGUGUUUUUGGGGUUAGAAUGCACAUUCACCCAAAAAUCGCAGAGUGACAUGUUUAUUAUCAGACCAAACCAAGCAUAGGUGUUUUGGUUCCAUCUCAAUAGAAAGAGGACGAAUAAGCUUGCAUUGUUCUUUCGGUGUUCAGACCCCACAAAUAGCAAAGCAAAGUGUAAUAAGCCUAAACAAAGCCAAACAGGUUGUUUUGGGUUGCAGCAACAUAGAAAGAAGAAUCUUGGAUUUUGCUUAUUUCGUGUUCUUUGGUGUUAAUGCACAUUGACCCAGAAAUCUCAAAGUGUGUGUAAUGAGACCAAAAUAACACAACACCGUCUUUUCGCUUCCAUACGCGUAGAAAGAAGACAAAUAAGCUUUGAUUGUGCUUAUUUCUAUUCGCAUGGUGUUUUUUGGGUGUGCACCAGAAUCACCCCCAACCAAAGCAAAAAGGUCUUUUGGCUUCCAACUACAUAAAAAGAAGAUGAUAAAGCUCUGAUUGGGCUUAUUUCAAAUUGGUGUUUUUGGGGUUAGAAUGCACAUUCACCCAAAAAUCGCAGAGUGACAUGUUUAUUAUCAGCCCAAACCAAGCAUAGGUGUUUAGGUUCCAUCUCAAUAGAAAGAGGACGAAUGAGCUUGCAUUGUUCUUUCGGUGUUCAGUCCCCCACAAAGAGCAAAGCAAAGUGUAAUAAGCCUAAACAAAGCCAAACAGGUUGUUUUGGGUUGCAGCAACAUAGAAAGAAGAAUCUUGGAUUUUGCUUAUUUCGUGUUCUUUGGUGUUAAUGCACAUUGACCCAGAAAUCGCAAAGUGUGUGUAAUGAGACCAAAAUAACACAACACCGUCUUUUCGCUUCCAUACGCGUAGAAAGAAGACAAAUAAGCUUUGAUUGUGCUUAUUUCUAUUCGCAUGGUGUUUUUUGGGUGUGCACCAGAAUCACCUCCAACCAAAGCAAAAGGUGUUUUGGCUUCCAACUACAUAAAAAGAAGAUAAGAAAGCUCUGAUUGGGCUUAUUUCAAAUUGGUGUUUUUGGGGUUAGAAUGCACAUUCACCCAAAAAUCGCAGAGUGACAUGUUUAUUAUCAGACCAAACCAAGCAUACGUGUUUUGGUUCCAUCUCAAUAGAAAGAGGACGAAUAAGCUUGGAUUGUUCUUUCGGUGUUCAUUCACUCACAAAUAGCAAACCGAAUUGUAAUGAGCAUAAACAAAGCUAAAUAGGUUCUUUUGGGUACCAGCUUGAUAGAACGAAGAAUCUUUGAUUUCGCUUAUUUCAGGUCGUGUUCUUUGGUGUUAAUGCACAUUGACCCAGAAAUCUCAAAGUGUGUGUAAUGAGACCAAAAUAACACAACAUUGUCUUUUCGCUUCCAUAUGCGUAGAAAGAAGACGAAUAAGCUUUGAUUGUGCUUAUUUCUAUUCGCAUGGUGUUUUAUGGGUGUGCACCAGAAUCACCCCCAACCAAAGCAAAAAGGUGUUUUGGGUUCCAGCUACAUAAAAAGAUGAUAAAGCUCUGAUUGGGCUUAUUUGGUGUUUUUGGGGUUAGAAUGCACAUUCACCCAAAAAUCGCAGAGUGACAUUGUCAGGGGUUCAGAGAGAGAGGCACAGGGUAGGCAGGAGAUGGAGAGCGAAGGGGAGGAAUUCCAAGCCAGCGAGGAAGAGGACGACAAUGACUCAAGGGAUUCCAUGAGUCUUUCCAGCGAAUCAGAGAUUUCCCAGAAGGGGGCGCCGGUGGUCAGGGCCAGGGGAGCCCCAGGGGGGAAAUGUCAGGAACAGGGUGCCAGCGGAGGAUCCCAAAGUGGCAGCUGGGCGUCAGGACCAGCCUCCCCACCAAAGUGCAGCGAAGGGGGUGGAGUUUCCAGUGUGUCAGAGGAAGGAGCUCCAGCAGCAGAGAGAGGAGGGGGGUCAGAGCAAGCAGCCCUCCCGGAAAGGGAGGGGAGCAGUGAAGGGAGCAGUGUAUCUGUCAAAAGGAAAGUUAGAGGUUUGGCGCGCGCGCCUAGUUCAAAUGUAGAGGCGCACGGAAGUGCAGGGAGCCCGGAGGAGGGGCCAGGUCCCAAAGCCCGCAGGAGGGGGGAGCAGCAGUCUGAUUCCGCGUCAGAGGAAUCCAGAAAGGGGCAAACCCCAGGGGGCAGAAAGACCCUGCGGAAAAGGAAGGAGAGAAAGAGGUGGAGCAGCGCAAGUCUCUUAAAUUGGUGCAGAGGAGGGACUGACUCAGACGGGACUUCGGCGGUCUAGCGUAAGAGACGUAAGGCUGCGCGCCUAAGAUGUCAAGCAAACCAUGAACUGCAAUAAACACCUUUGUAUUCAAGAAGACGUAGGCGUUGGUCUUUUGUGAGCUAAGACUUGAGGCAGCCUUGACAGACAUGUUUAUUAUCAGCCCAAACCAAGCAUAAGUGUUUUGGUUCCAUCUCAAUAGAAAGAGGACGAAUAAGCUUGCAUUGUUCUUUCGGUGUUCAGUCCCCCACAAAUAGCAAAGCAAAGUGUAAUAAGCCUAAACAAAGCCAAACAGGUUGUUUUGGGUUGCAGCAACAUAGAAAGAUGAAUCUUGGAUUUUGCUUAUUUCCUGUUCUUUGGUGUUAAUACACUGACUCAGAAAUCUCAAAGUGUGUGUAAUGAGACCAAAAUAACACAAUAUUGUCCUUUCGCUGCCAUACGCGUAGAAAGAAGACAAAUUAGCUUUGAUUGUGCUUAUUUCAAUUCGCAUGGGGUUUUAUGGGUGUGCACCAGAAUCACCCCCAACCAAGGCAAAAAGGUCUUUUGGGUUCCAUCUGCACCAGAAUCACCCCAACCAAAGCAAAAAGGUCUUUUGGGUUCCAGCUACAUAAAAAGAAGAAGAUAAAGCUCUGAUUGGGCUUAUUUCAAAUUGGUGUUUUUGGGGUUAGAAUGCACAAUCACCCAAAAAUUGCAGAGUGACAUGUUUAUUAUCAGACCAAACCAAGCAUAGGUGUUUUGGUUCCAUGAAUAGAAAGAGGACG
This is a non-coding RNA of Podarcis lilfordi (Lilford's wall lizard), 3046 nucleotides long. Lineage: Eukaryota; Metazoa; Chordata; Lepidosauria; Squamata; Lacertidae. The record is from the annotation of a GenBank genome assembly.